GGCUCAGAUUGAACGCUGGCGGCAGGCCUAACACAUGCAAGUCGAACGGUAGCACAGAGAGCUUGCUCUCGGGUGACGAGUGGCGGACGGGUGAGUAAUGUCUGGGAAACUGCCCGAUGGAGGGGGAUAACUACUGGAAACGGUAGCUAAUACCGCAUAAUGUCGCAAGACCAAAGAGGGGGACCUUCGGGCCUCUUGCCAUCGGAUGUGCCCAGAUGGGAUUAGCUUGUAGGUGAGGUAACGGCUCACCUAGGCGACGAUCCCUAGCUGGUCUGAGAGGAUGACCAGCCACACUGGAACUGAGACACGGUCCAGACUCCUACGGGAGGCAGCAGUGGGGAAUAUUGCACAAUGGGCGCAAGCCUGAUGCAGCCAUGCCGCGUGUAUGAAGAAGGCCUUCGGGUUGUAAAGUACUUUCAGCGGGGAGGAAGGGAGUGAGGUUAAUAACCUUAUUCAUUGACGUUACCCGCAGAAGAAGCACCGGCUAACUCCGUGCCAGC
RNAcentral lists this ribosomal RNA (500 nucleotides) under Klebsiella oxytoca. RNAcentral's name for it is "bacterial SSU rRNA". It matches the Rfam family "Bacterial small subunit ribosomal RNA", at positions 21 to 512 of the family's 1533-position model. The record is from RNAcentral. Lineage: Bacteria; Pseudomonadati; Pseudomonadota; Gammaproteobacteria; Enterobacterales; Enterobacteriaceae.